AUACGGGACUAUUAAGGACAUGA
This 23-nucleotide microRNA is filed under the name Branchiostoma lanceolatum (amphioxus). Its description in RNAcentral is "Bla-Mir-12494-P3_5p (mature (guide))". The record is from RNAcentral. Lineage: Eukaryota; Metazoa; Chordata; Leptocardii; Amphioxiformes; Branchiostomatidae.